This 597-nucleotide ribosomal RNA is filed under the name Saissetia coffeae. RNAcentral describes it as "partial 28S ribosomal RNA". Lineage: Eukaryota; Metazoa; Arthropoda; Insecta; Hemiptera; Coccidae. The record is from RNAcentral.
UCGAUUCGAUAUUUCCGUCGCCGACCCUCAACCGAGGGUGUCGGACGUCGCGACCCGUUCGCCAGAUCGAUGCUCAGGGGCGCGUCUCAAGUUCGUAUGCGCGGCCGUUUCGGCGGUCGCGCGGCGAUGACGCGUUUCCACUGUUUUCGACGCGGACGGUAGCUUUGCGCGCGGGUAAUCGAGGCGGUCCUUCGUCCGGCGUCUCGUACGUCGGACGGCGCUCGCCUCGACGCCGGUCAGCGACGAAUCUUCGGGCCUCUUUCCGACCCGUCUUGAAACACGGACCAAGGAGUCUAGCGUGCGCGCGAGUCGCGGGGUAUCCGAGGAGUAGUAGUCGUUUCGGCGGCGAACGCUCCUCGUCACGAUACGAAACCCGUGUACGUACGUUGUGCGAAGGCGUAAUGAAAGUGAAAGGCGGCGCUUCGCGCGUCGCCGGGGGAAGACGGUCGACCGUGUACACGUUUCGCGACCGCGUAUGUGUCGCGACCGGUCACCCGCAUUCCCAGGGCGUCCCGCUCGUACGUCGGCGGCCGGGGUUCGCUUCGACCGUCGACGAACUGGGGCGCACCUACAGCGUGCACGCUGGUACCCGAAAGA